GUAGGGAAUCUUGCGCAAUGGGCGAAAGCCUGACGCAGCCAUGCCGCGUGAAUGAUGAAGGUCUUAGGAUUGUAAAAUUCUUUCACCGGGGACGAUAAUGACGGUACCCGGAGAAGAAGCCCCGGCUAACUUCGUGCCAGCAGCCGCGGUAAUACGAAGGGGGCUAGCGUUGCUCGGAAUUACUGUGCGUAAAGGGAGCGUAGGCGGAUAGUUUAGUCAGAGGUGAAAGCCCAGGGCUCAACCUUGGAAUUGCCUUUGAUACUGGCUGUCUUGAGUUUGGGAGAGGUGAGUGGAACUCCGAGUGUAGAGGUGAAAUUCGUAGAUAUUCGGAAGAACACCAGUGGCGAAGGCGACUCACUGGCCCAAUACUGACGCUGAGGCGCGAAAGCGUGGGGAGCAAACAGGAUUAGAAACCCGGGUAGUCC
Molecule: ribosomal RNA, 425 nt
Filed under: uncultured bacterium
Lineage: Bacteria
Description: partial 16S ribosomal RNA
Rfam family: Bacterial small subunit ribosomal RNA
Source: RNAcentral